RNAcentral lists this long non-coding RNA (206 nucleotides) under Nicotiana benthamiana. RNAcentral describes it as "long non-coding RNA (NBEN_LNC027474)". The record is from RNAcentral. Lineage: Eukaryota; Viridiplantae; Streptophyta; Magnoliopsida; Solanales; Solanaceae.
UUUUGACAAAUUCAAGGCCAAUGAAAAAGAAAAAUAGGUAGAAGGGAAAUUAUGGCACAACCAAACAGAGGAAGUCUUAGAAGACAGCCAGAUUCCAGAUUCGAUGCAAAGUGAUGAUGAAAUAAGUGGAAAUGAAGAGGAAGAUGAGGACCAAUGGGUUAAUGAUAAUGUCAAUGCAAAUACUAUUCAAAUCAUAUCUGAAAACG